RNAcentral lists this ribosomal RNA (540 nucleotides) under uncultured bacterium. RNAcentral's name for it is "bacterial SSU rRNA". It matches the Rfam family "Bacterial small subunit ribosomal RNA", at positions 808 to 1342 of the family's 1533-position model. The record is from RNAcentral.
GAUGGAUGCUGGAUAUUCCUGCAGUUGUGUGGGAGUGUCGAAGCUAACGCGUUAAGUAUCCCGCCUGGGGAGUACGGACGCAAGGCUGAAACUCAAAGGAAUUGACGGGGGCCCGCACAAGCGGUGGAGCAUGUGGUUUAAUUCGACGCAACGCGAAGAACCUUACCUAGGCUUGAACCGGCGGUGGUAGAAACCCGAAAGGGGGACGAUUCCAGUUUACCGGAAAGCCGCCAGAGGUGCUGCAUGGCUGUCGUCAGCUCGUGUCGUGAGAUGUUGGGUUAAGUCCCGCAACGAGCGCAACCCUUGUCUUUAGUUGCCAGCGAGUCAUGUCGGGCACUCUAAGGAGACUGCCUCGGACAACGAGGAGGAAGGUGGGGAUGACGUCAAGUCAGCAUGGCCUUUAUGUCUAGAGCUACACACGUGCUACAAUGGACGGUACAGAGGGAUGCAAGCCCGCGAGGGGGAGCUAAUCCUUAAAACCGUUCUCAGUUCGGAUUGGAGGCUGCAAUUCGCCUCCAUGAAGUCGGAAUCGCUAGUAAU